This 227-nucleotide unclassified non-coding RNA is filed under the name uncultured fungus. Its description in RNAcentral is "sequence contains ITS1, 5.8S rRNA gene". The stretch from base 179 to 227 matches the Rfam family "5.8S ribosomal RNA", at positions 1 to 49 of the family's 154-position model. Lineage: Eukaryota; Fungi. The record is from RNAcentral.
UCUCCGUAGGUGAACCUGCGGAGGGAUCAUUACUGAGUGAGGGCUUCGGUCCGACCUCCAACCCUUUGUGAACCAAACUUGUUGCCUCGGGGGGCGACCCGGCCCUCGUGCCGGGCGACCCCGGAGGUCCAUCAAACUCUGCAUCCUUGCGUCGGAGUAUUGAAAGCAAAUCAAUCAAAACUUUUAACAACGGAUCUCUUGGUUCUGGCAUCGAUGAAGAACGCAGC